RNAcentral lists this ribosomal RNA (1415 nucleotides) under uncultured bacterium. RNAcentral's name for it is "16S ribosomal RNA". It matches the Rfam family "Bacterial small subunit ribosomal RNA". The record is from RNAcentral.
UCCUGGCUCAGGACGAACGCUGGCGGCGUGCCUAAUACAUGCAAGUCGAGCGAGCGGAACUAACAGAUUUACUUCGGUAAUGACGUUAGGAAAGCGAGCGGCGGAUGGGUGAGUAACACGUGGGGAACCUGCCCCAUAGUCUGGGAUACCACUUGGAAACAGGUGCUAAUACCGGAUAAGAAGGCAGAUCGCAUGAUCAGCUUUUAAAAGGCGGCGUAAGCUGUCGCUAUGGGAUGGCCCCGCGGUGCAUUAGCUAGUUGGUAAGGUAAAGGCUUACCAAGGCAAUGAUGCAUAGCCGAGUUGAGAGACUGAUCGGCCACAUUGGGACUGAGACACGGCCCAAACUCCUACGGGAGGCAGCAGUAGGGAAUCUUCCACAAUGGACGCAAGUCUGAUGGAGCAACGCCGCGUGAGUGAAGAAGGUUUUCGGAUCGUAAAGCUCUGUUGUUGGUGAAGAAGGAUAGAGGUAGUAACUGGCCUUUAUUUGACGGUAAUCAACCAGAAAGUCACGGCUAACUACGUGCCAGCAGCCGCGGUAAUACGUAGGUGGCAAGCGUUGUCCGGAUUUAUUGGGCGUAAAGCGAGCGCAGGCGGAAGAAUAAGUCUGAUGUGAAAGCCCUCGGCUUAACCGAGGAACUGCAUCGGAAACUGUUUUUCUUGAGUGCAGAAGAGGAGAGUGGAACUCCAUGUGUAGCGGUGGAAGGCGUAGAUAUAUAGAAGAACACCAGUGGCGAAGGCGGCUCUCUUGUCUGCAACUGACGCUGAGGCUCGAAAGCAUGGGUAGCGAACAGGAUUAGAUACCCUGGUAGUCCAUACCGUAAAACGAUGAGUGCUAAGAGUUGGGAGGUUUCCGCCUCUCAGUGCUGCAGCUAACGCAUUAAGCACUCCGCCUGGGGAGUACGACCGCAAGGUUGAAACUCAAAGGAAUUGACGGGGGCCCGCACAAGCGGUGGAGCAUGUGGUUUAAUUCGAAGCAACGCGAAGAACCUUACCAGGUCUUGACAUCUAGUGCCAUUUGUAGAGAUACAAAGUUCCCUUCGGGGACACUAAGACAGGUGGUGCAUGGCUGUCGUCAGCUCGUGUCGUGAGAUGUUGGGUUAAGUCCCGCAACGAGCGCAACCCUUGUUAUUAGUUGCCAGCAUUAAGUUGGGCACUCUAAUGAGACUGCCGGUGACAAACCGGAGGAAGGUGGGGAUGACGUCAAGUCAUCAUGCCCCUUAUGACCUGGGCUACACACGUGCUACAAUGGACGGUACAACGAGAAGCGAACCUGCGAAGGCAAGCGGAUCUCUUAAAGCCGUUCUCAGUUCGGACUGUAGGCUGCAACUCGCCUACACGAAGCUGGAAUCGCUAGUAAUCGCGGAUCAGCACGCCGCGGUGAAUAAGUUCCCGGGCCUUGCACUCACCGCCCGUCA